This 1266-nucleotide ribosomal RNA is filed under the name Arthrobacter sp. C3-12. RNAcentral describes it as "bacterial SSU rRNA". It matches the Rfam family "Bacterial small subunit ribosomal RNA", at positions 117 to 1394 of the family's 1533-position model. Lineage: Bacteria; Bacillati; Actinomycetota; Actinomycetes; Micrococcales; Micrococcaceae. The record is from RNAcentral.
GUGAGUAACCUGCCCUUGACUCUGGGAUAAGCCUGGGAAACUGGGUCUAAUACCGGAUACGACCGCUCCACGCAUGUGGUGGUGGUGGAAAGCUUUUGCGGUUUUGGAUGGACUCGCGGCCUAUCAGCUUGUUGGUGGGGUAAUGGCCUACCAAGGCGACGACGGGUAGCCGGCCUGAGAGGGUGACCGGCCACACUGGGACUGAGACACGGCCCAGACUCCUACGGGAGGCAGCAGUGGGGAAUAUUGCACAAUGGGCGGAAGCCUGAUGCAGCGACGCCGCGUGAGGGAUGACGGCCUUCGGGUUGUAAACCUCUUUCAGUAGGGAAGAAGCGUAAGUGACGGUACCUGCAGAAGAAGCGCCGGCUAACUACGUGCCAGCAGCCGCGGUAAUACGUAGGGCGCAAGCGUUAUCCGGAAUUAUUGGGCGUAAAGAGCUCGUAGGCGGUUUGUCGCGUCUGCUGUGAAAGACCGGGGCUCAACUCCGGUUCUGCAGUGGGUACGGGCAGACUAGAGUGAUGUAGGGGAGACUGGAAUUCCUGGUGUAGCGGUGAAAUGCGCAGAUAUCAGGAGGAACACCGAUGGCGAAGGCAGGUCUCUGGGCAUUAACUGACGCUGAGGAGCGAAAGCAUGGGGAGCGAACAGGAUUAGAUACCCUGGUAGUCCAUGCCGUAAACGUUGGGCACUAGGUGUGGGGGACAUUCCACGUUUUCCGCGCCGUAGCUAACGCAUUAAGUGCCCCGCCUGGGGAGUACGGCCGCAAGGCUAAAACUCAAAGGAAUUGACGGGGGCCCGCACAAGCGGCGGAGCAUGCGGAUUAAUUCGAUGCAACGCGAAGAACCUUACCAAGGCUUGACAUGAACCGGUAACGCCUGGAAACAGGUGCCCCGCUUGCGGUCGGUUUACAGGUGGUGCAUGGUAGUCGUCAGCUCGUGUCGUGAGAUGUUGGGUUAAGUCCCGCAACGAGCGCAACCCUCGUUCCAUGUUGCCAGCACGUAGUGGUGGGGACUCAUGGGAGACUGCCGGGGUCAACUCGGAGGAAGGUGGGGACGACGUCAAAUCAUCAUGCCCCUUAUGUCUUGGGCUUCACGCAUGCUACAAUGGCCGGUACAAAGGGUUGCGAUACUGUGAGGUGGAGCUAAUCCCAAAAAGCCGGUCUCAGUUCGGAUUGGGGUCUGCAACUCGACCCCAUGAAGUCGGAGUCGCUAGUAAUCGCAGAUCAGCAACGCUGGGGUGAAUACGUUCCCGGGCCUUGUACACACCGCC